GGAGGAGGCGAAGUACAGAGGAAGAAGGAGGCACUGCUAAUGGGUACAAGGUUUUUUCUUGGUACAAGGAGUUCAACAUUCUGUGCUUCUGCAGCCGUCUAAAAUCAGCUGGAAAGGUUUAAGACCCCAUUUCCUGCUCUCGCAGGGACUGUCCUGCUGCUGUCCCCCUCUCCUCUCCUUGCAGUAGGCGGGUGUUUCUCUUCCUAUGUGAGGAGCGCCCGCACCGGAGGGCAGUGUCACCCCUAGACCGGGCAAGAGAGACCACCAUGUGAGGUGUCCAUGGACCCAAGGAAGAGGUCUAUGAAGAGCCUGCAGUCACCUGCCAGACAGUUUUCCCUCACCAAACUGUCCCCUUCAGAGCUGAGGACUGGAUCUUCCCAUGCUGACACCUCCAGUGGGAAAGAAAGUUCUAGAUUCAGCUCUGGGUGUCCAAGUCAUUAUGGAGGUAUAUUUGUCAAGGUGGAAGAAAAAGACAUAUUCUGUUUAGCAGUUUGUAAGUUUGAUUAAUCACUUUAAACUAUUUGGACCUAU
Cebus imitator (Panamanian white-faced capuchin) is the source of this 531-nucleotide long non-coding RNA. RefSeq lists it as uncharacterized. The transcript has 3 exons. Lineage: Eukaryota; Metazoa; Chordata; Mammalia; Primates; Cebidae. The record is from RefSeq and is a predicted model, not a curated record.